AACAUCAUGGCCCUAGGUGAUGCUCAGAAAAAUGCAUAAGCAUUCACAAAUCUCUCUCCUCUCUCUCUCUUUCUCUCUCUCCAUUUUCUCUGCUUCAUUCUAGAAUGGCUUCCAACCCCCUGUCAUCUAUGUGAGUAUUGAAACAGACCACAACUUCCAUUGCAACUGUAACUAACAGGCAGUUGAACUUUUCCUGUGCUCCCAAGUUUAGAUAUGGGGGAAGGGUCUACACCUCUUCUUCCCCUAAGUGUCUCCACCCAGAUGUAACUCCCCACAUGGCCUGAGAUCCUUCCUUUGCCCCAGUCCCAGGGUUCUGGACAAGCUGGGAGGGGUAGAAAAUGAACAAAGGUGGUAGCAAAGUAGAAUUCUCAUAACACCCUGUUCUCUCAACUUCUCAGGAUCCUCAGGGUACCCUAACAGUGAGUAUUCCCACACCCAAGCAGCCCUUCUCUCCUUACCCCCCCAUAUAAACAUCUCUUGGGUUGUCUCUGCUUUGCCCUAUAUGGGAUAAAGAGCACCAGGAGAUCCUGAUAAGGCACCACUAAAGCUGUGUUUUUCUUGCAGAACGGUGGCGGCUUUGACGGGGUUGGUGGUCAGCGCUUCAAAAACAUUGGGGUUGGCUUCGAACCCACUGUCGUCUAUGUGAGUAUUGCAAUAGAUCACAACUUCCAUUGCAAAAGGAACUAAAAGACAGUUGCCCUUUCCCUGUGCUCUUAAGGUCGGAUAUGGGGGAAGAAAACCAUGAGCAACCCAACCCUGAGCAGUCAGCCCUGGCCCAAGAUCUGUCUGCUGCCUCAGUCUGGACUCGGUUUGGGAAAGAACUGAGUGGACUUUGGCAACAUCUUCUGUCUUGGUCCAACUCUUGACCACAGGGUGUACAAUCCUUCUUCCCCUAAGUGCCUCCACACAGACGUAACUCUGCUCAUAACCUGAACUCCUUUCUCUGCCCCAGUCCCAGGGUUCUGGACAAUGUGGGAGGGGUAGGGAAUGUACAAA
RNAcentral lists this long non-coding RNA (996 nucleotides) under Phasianus colchicus (ring-necked pheasant). Its description in RNAcentral is "lncRNA (ENSPCLG00000013776.1)". Lineage: Eukaryota; Metazoa; Chordata; Aves; Galliformes; Phasianidae. The record is from RNAcentral.